GUUCAUGCACAUCAUGACGUGUGUGACAGGCACCAGGGUGGGGGGCCUCUCCCCAAGGCUAACCCCCAGCCUCUCUCGUAUCUGCAGCAACAGAAUUGGCUGAGUAAUGUGGAAUGUGGCCAGGAGACCAGCCAGAUGCAGAGCCCAGUGAGCCCUGCCCUGCGUCUCUGUGCAGGGUGUGUGAUGUGUGGGUGAGUGGGUCUGAUGUGAAAGGCCUCUCCUGCACCCUCCAGGAUGCUCACCCUUGGUUGGGAAACAGCCAGACUGUGAGAACAAGACUGUGGGUGCUGGGCUCCUAGGUUACACGGAGGCCGCCCCUGACUAGGGUGGGAGCAUGGCAGGGGUGUGGGGGGAGCCAGUGCCCCAAGACAGGAGCUACACGUCCAUCUGGGUGUGAGUGGGCUUCAAGUGUGAAGGGUCUGGACUAGCAGGAAGGUGACUGGCAUGCUAAAGGCCACUGUCCUUGCCCUGGGAGAUGGGCAGCCCCACCUGAAGGCCCACGUGUGGAUCGUCACCACCCUCAAGUCAUGGCCGGACUAACAGAAACUAUUUGCUGGCAGCCUCCUGCCCUUGAUUUUAUCACAAGGAGAGGUGAGGCCACGACCCCCACCCAGGCAUCACCUCCUCCAGGAAGCAUUCCCUCACUCCUCCAGAUGGGGCAGUCCCUCCUUUGGGUUUCCAAGCCCUUUUCUACUCCCUCAUGCAGUAGACUGUAACAGAUAAGAGCUCUGGUCCACACAGUCCUGGGUUCAAACUCCAGUUCCACCUCACCUGGCUGUGUGACCCUUUUGCAAGCCUCAACUCCCUAUGCAUGGAAGGAGCCGCAAACCCCAGCUCUAAGGGUGGUGAUGAGGAUCACGGCGGCGUCUGGGGCCUGACAGGUGUCCAAUGCCUGUUACUGCUGUCAUUACCACUAUUAAUUGUUACAGCAGUUACUGCCCUGCAUCUGAAGCAGUUUACAACUCUCCUACCUGUAAUGUGGGCUCCUGGAGAGCACAACAACGGCUAAAUUGUUGCCAGACCUGGCACUGAGGUGUGGCUAAUAAAUGCUUAAAUUUUUUUUUUUUUUGAGACAGGGUCUCACUAUGUUGCCCAGGCUGGUCCCAAACUCCUGGCCUCAAGUAAUCCUUCAGCCUCAGCCUCCCAGAUUGAUGGAAUUACAGGUAUAAGCCACCAUGCCCCACCUAAUAAAUGAUUUUAAUGAGAAAAUGCAUCUAUGAGAGUGCAUGUGCAUGAGUGCAUUUAGAUCCCAUUUCACACUCAGAACCGCCCAAUGCAGGAUAAACCCCCAUGUGAUAGGCACUGCUGCCAUCCCAUCUCAUGUGCUUGCUGAGAGUAGACACCCAAGCCCCAGAAGCCUUGCUGACCCCUGCCAUGCACGUCCCUGGCUGAAGAGCUACUCUUGGCUGGAGGCAUACCUCCCUGGUUUCCAAGCCCCCGAGAGCUUGAGCUUACCUUGCCCUGAAAGAAGGAAAAGGGGAUGCUCUUUAAGGUCAUGGUCUGAAGCCAGAGAUGAGGAUCCCAGGCAACCCGAGGGCCUGGAGAAAAUGCAGACCUUUCUGAUAGAAAUGCCAUGCCCCACUGUGGUCUAAAUGUUUGUGUCCCCCCAAAUUCAAAUGCAGAAAUCCUCUUCCCAAAGGUGCUGGUGUUGGGAGGCAGGGCCUUUGGGAGGUGAUGAGGCCAUGGGUGUGGAGCCCUCACGAAUGAGAUUAGUGCCCUUAUACAAGAGGCCCCAGAGAGACCCUUGCUCCUCCCACCACAUGAGGUGGCAUUGUCUAUGUGAGAAGGCACCGUCUUUGAACCAGGAAGCAGAACCUCACCAGACACCGAAUCAGUCAGUGCCUUGACCUUGGACUUCCUGACCUGCAGCCUGUGGGAAAUUUCUGUUGUUUAUAAGUCACUCAGUUUAUGGUAUUUUUGUUUUUGUUUUUGUUUUUGUUUUGAGACGGAGUCUUGCUCUGUAGCCCAGGCUGGAGUGCAGUGGUGCAAUCUCGGCUCACUGCAAGCUCCACCUCCCCGGUUCACGCCAUUCUCCUGCCUCAGCCUCCCGAGUAGCUGCGACUACAGGUGCCUGCCACCACGCCCGGCUAAUUUUUUGUAUUUUUAGUAGAGACGGGGUUUCACUGUGUUAGCCAGGAUGGCCUCGAUCUUGUGACCUUGUGAUCCAUCCGCCUCGGCCUCCCAAAGGGCUGGGAUUACAGGCGUGAGCCACCGCGCCCGGCCUGGUAUUUUUGUUAUAGUGGCCUGAAUGGACUAAGACACCACACAGACAGGGCAACAUAAGUGAUGAACGCUCACUUAUUAUUUUUUUUCUCUCAUCUUCUAGACAGGAACGCAAAAAGGCAGGCCACUUUAUGAACAGCAGCACACAAUACAUUUUUUACUGGCCUUAACUUUUCGUGUUGCUGUAGAGACCCAAUCAUCCAUAAAGAGCUCCACAAACAUGAGACAUUGCUAUUGCCAUAUUUAAGCCAUGGGCUCUAGAAACCCCUGAAGUUAUAUAUAAAAUUUUAUGAGUGUGUACAUUUUUUGGGGGGAGAAAAGUUUUUAUCAAAUUCCCCAAAAGGUUAAGAAACACUGAAAAGAAAAAAAGUCCUUUGACCCAGAAGGAUACUUUGACCCAGAAGGAUACCAAAAUAAAAACAGCACAUCCUUAUCUGUUGUUCUGAACCUUCCCAUGCUCACACCUCUGCCUUGUGCGCCAUCCUCCCUCCACCUGCCCGUACCUCGCAGACAGCAUCAGGCAGGACUCGGAAGUCUCAAUCUUUAGAGCGUAGGGCACUUUCUCCAUCACAGGGCGGCUGACCUGGAAAACCAACAGCAGCCUCCUUCAGGGUGGGGCAGGGAGGGGCAAGUGUAGACCGGCUUCUCCUGGCAGCAGAUGAACAGAGGGACCAUGUCCACCUACUGCCGUUCUCUAGCCUCAGGGCAUACCUUUCUGUGAUGGUAGGUGCUGUGGAAGGUGCCUGGCUGCCAGCUCCAUCAUUCUUGGCCACUCACCCACCGCUGGGAAGGCUGCAGAGCGUCAUGCUCAGGGCCCAGCCCGGGCAACCCCAGGUGCACUGUCAUGUUGGACAAGUACCUGCCAGUGACCACGUCUCCCAUGCCUUUUUCUAACAGGCUCCUCGGUGGAGCCUUUGGUUCCAAAAGGGAACAAACCUCCAUGCUGAGAAAGGUGCUUCCUCCUUCCCCUUCCCCAUGGUAAAGAGCCUACAGGAUCAAGAGAGAUUGCACAGUGCCUCUCUCAGCUCUCCUGGCCAUCCCUGCCUCUGCCCUUGACAAUGACAACCGCCUGCGGCUCCACUGUCCCACCUCAGUGUUGCCCUCUCUAACUUCAGCCUCCUGUUGCACCAGAAUUAACUUCCUAAAACCUCCUGCUCCUCAAAGUCCCCAACAGCUCCCAAGUGUUCCCAUCUUCAGGACCAAGUUACACGGAGCUAAGCCCCACACAUAUGCCCAUAUUCACAGCAGUAUUACUCACAACAGCCUAAAGGUGGAAGCCACCAGUGUCCAUCGGCAGAGGAUUGAAUAAACACCAUGUGGUCUAUCCACACAAUGGAAGGAAAAUUCUGACCCAUACUACAGAUGACAGGGAUCAACCUUGAGGACACUGUGCUAAGUGAAACAAGGAUCAAUACUGUGUGACUCCUCAUUCGAGGUACCCAUAGUAGUCAAAUUCAUGGACAUAGAAAGUAGAAUGGUAGGUGCCAGGGGCUGAGAAGGAGGGGAAUGGAGAGUUGGUUUUUAAUGUGGGCAGAGUUUCAGUCUGGGGAGAGGAAAGAGUUCUGAGAUGGAUGGUGGUGCUGGAUACACAGCAAUG
RNAcentral lists this long non-coding RNA (3820 nucleotides) under Homo sapiens (human). RNAcentral's name for it is "non-protein coding FGD5-AS1:20". Lineage: Eukaryota; Metazoa; Chordata; Mammalia; Primates; Hominidae. The record is from RNAcentral.